UACAGAGGUCUCAAGCGUUGUUCGGAUUCAUUGGGCGUAAAGGGUGCGUAGGCGGCGCGGUAAGUCGGGUGUGAAAUCUCGGAGCUUAACUCCAGUAACUGCAUUCGAUACUGCCGUGCUUGAGGACUGGAGAGGAGACUGGAAUUUACGGUGUAGCGGUGAAAUGCGUAGAUAUCGUAAGGAAGACCAGUGGCGAAGGCGGGUCUCUGGACAGUUCCUGACGCUGAGGCACGAAGGUCAGGGGAGCAAACGGG
Molecule: ribosomal RNA, 254 nt
Filed under: uncultured bacterium
Lineage: Bacteria
Description: partial 16S ribosomal RNA
Rfam family: Bacterial small subunit ribosomal RNA
Source: RNAcentral